Molecule: ribosomal RNA, 486 nt
Filed under: Thalassiosira rotula
Lineage: Eukaryota; Bacillariophyta; Thalassiosirophyceae; Thalassiosirales; Thalassiosiraceae
Description: SSU rRNA
Rfam family: Eukaryotic small subunit ribosomal RNA
Source: RNAcentral
CUCGUAGUUGGAUUUCUGGCAGGAGGGGCCGGUCACACACUCUGUGCGUGAACUCGUGCCGUCUCUGGCCAUCCUCGGGGAGAUCCUGUUUGGCAUUAAGUUGUCGGGCAGGGGAUACCCGUCGUUUACUGUGAAAAAAUUAGAGUGUUUAAAGCAGGCUUAUGCCGUUGAAUAUAUUAGCAUGGAAUAAUAAGAUAGGACUUCGGAACUAUUUUGUUGGUUUGCGUUACGAAGUAAUGAUUAAUAGGGACAGUUGGGGGUAUUCGUAUUCCGUUGUCAGAGGUGAAAUUCUUGGAUUUCCGGAAGACGAACUACUGCGAAAGCAUUUACCAAGGAUGUUUUCAUUAAUCAAGAACGAAAGUUAGGGGAUCGAAGAUGAUUAGAUACCAUCGUAGUCUUAACCAUAAACUAUGCCGACUCGGGAUCGGAGGUUGUUUUUUGACUCCUUCGGCACCGUAUGAGAAAUCAAAGUCUUUGGGUUCCGGG